CCCAACCCAGGGUCAACGCAGCCGACCGCACGUGGGGCUUGCCAGGGGGUGCAAUGAGCCCCCGGCCAGACGUGCAGGGAGAGGGGGAAGGCACCAAGCGGGACCUGCGGAGAGGAGGGAGGCUGCACGGCUACACAUGGACUGCACUGCAGCAAGCUGAAUAAUUUCAAGCAAUUAACUUUUACCACAUGGCACCAAACUCAGAACAUUGACUUAAAUCAGUUGAAGAAAAGACUCUUGAAGGGAAAUGAGAAGUAUGUUGCAUUGCAAAACCACCGUUAAAAAUUUCUGGAAGACACGGUCUUCAGAAAAAUUUCAAAGAGGAACACUCCACAGUCUCUUACUACUUGGGACAAGUAGUUCUGAACUGAAAAUGAAUACUGCUUCCUAAAAGUAAUAAUGUAAUACACUGCAUUUUAUAGCACUUUUUGUCUAAGCAUAGUUUGAACAAUAAAUUGAACUUCAACCAUG
This is a long non-coding RNA of Malaclemys terrapin pileata, 471 nucleotides long. RefSeq lists it as uncharacterized. The record is from RefSeq and is a predicted model, not a curated record. Lineage: Eukaryota; Metazoa; Chordata; Testudines; Emydidae. The transcript is spliced from 2 exons.